CCUACGGGAGGCAGCAGUGAGGAAUAUUGGUCAAUGGACGAGAGUCUGAACCAGCCCAGUAGCGUGAAGGAUGACUGCCCUAUGGGUGGUAAACUUCUUUUAUAUGGGAAUAAAAUGUUCCACGUGUGGGAUUUUGUAUGUACCAUAUGAAUAAGGAUCGGAUAACUCCGUGCCAGCAGCCGAGGUAAUACGGAGGAUCCGAGCGUUAUCCGGAUUUAUUGGGUUUAAAGGGAGCGUAGGUGGAUUGUUAAGUCAGUUGUGAAAGUUUGCGGCUCAACCGUAAAAUUGCAGUUGAAACUGGCAGUCUUGAGUACAGUAGAGGUGAGCGGAAUUCGUGGUGUAGCGGUGAAAUGCUUAGAUAUCACGAAGAACUCCGAUUGCGAAGGCAGCUCACUGGACUGCAACUGACACUGAGGCUCGAAAGUGUGGGUAUCAAACAGGAUUAGAUACCCUAGUAGUC
This 460-nucleotide ribosomal RNA is filed under the name uncultured bacterium. Its description in RNAcentral is "partial 16S ribosomal RNA". It matches the Rfam family "Bacterial small subunit ribosomal RNA", at positions 338 to 795 of the family's 1533-position model. The record is from RNAcentral.